This 253-nucleotide ribosomal RNA is filed under the name uncultured bacterium. RNAcentral's name for it is "partial 16S ribosomal RNA". It matches the Rfam family "Bacterial small subunit ribosomal RNA", at positions 524 to 776 of the family's 1533-position model. The record is from RNAcentral.
UACGGGGGGGGCAAGCGUUGUUCGGAAUUACUGGGCGUAAAGGGUUUGUAGGUGGCCAACUAAGUCAGACGUGAAAUCCCUCAGCUUAACUGGGGAACCGCGUCUGAUACUGGUUGGCUUGAGUGCAGGAGAGGAAUGCGGAAUUCCAGGUGUAGCGGUGAAAUGCGUAGAUAUCUGGAGGAACACCGGUGGCGAAGGCGGCAUUCUGGACUGCAACUGACACUGAAGAACGAAAGCCAGGGGAGCAAACGGG